AUGGGUAUAACUCAGUGGUAGAGUACACGUUUAGCAUACAGGAGGUCCUGGGUUCAAUCCCCAGUACCUCUA
This 72-nucleotide transfer RNA is filed under the name Camelus bactrianus (Bactrian camel). It matches the Rfam family "tRNA". From Rfam's summary of the family: Transfer RNA (tRNA) molecules are approximately 80 nucleotides in length. Their secondary structure includes four short double-helical elements and three loops (D, anti-codon, and T loops). Further hydrogen bonds mediate the characteristic L-shaped molecular structure. tRNAs have two regions of fundamental functional importance: the anti-codon, which is responsible for specific mRNA codon recognition, and the 3' end, to which the tRNAs corresponding amino acid is attached (by aminoacyl-tRNA synthetases). tRNAs cope with the degeneracy of the genetic code in two manners: having more than one tRNA (with a specific anti-codon) for a particular amino acid; and 'wobble' base-pairing, i.e. permitting non-standard base-pairing at the 3rd anti-codon position. The record is from Rfam by way of RNAcentral. Lineage: Eukaryota; Metazoa; Chordata; Mammalia; Artiodactyla; Camelidae. RNAcentral also lists the same sequence under 2 other names.